UACAGAGGUCUCGAGCGUUAGGCGGAAUCACUGGGCUUAAAGCGUGUGUAGGUGGAUGCCUAAGUACCUUGUGGAAUCCCACAGCUUAACUGUGGAACUGCUUGGUAUACUGGGUGUCUUGAGUCACUCAGGGGCGAGCGGAACAAAUGGUGGAGCGGUGAAAUGCGUAGAUAUCAUUUGGAACGCCAAUGGUGAAAACAGCUCGCUGGGGGUGCACUGACACUGAGACACGAAAGCCAGGGGAGCGAACGGG
This 253-nucleotide ribosomal RNA is filed under the name uncultured bacterium. Its description in RNAcentral is "partial 16S ribosomal RNA". It matches the Rfam family "Bacterial small subunit ribosomal RNA", at positions 524 to 776 of the family's 1533-position model. The record is from RNAcentral.